This 339-nucleotide ribosomal RNA is filed under the name uncultured bacterium. RNAcentral's name for it is "bacterial SSU rRNA". It matches the Rfam family "Bacterial small subunit ribosomal RNA", at positions 29 to 334 of the family's 1533-position model. The record is from RNAcentral.
AACGAACGUUGGCGGCGUGGAUUAGGCAUGCAAGUCGAGCGGGAUUAACUUGUUUCAAUCUUUCGGGAGAGAAACUUGUUAUGAGAGCGGCGAACGGGUGAGUAAUAUAUGGGGUAAUAUGCCUCUUUGUUCGGAAUAGCUAUCGGAAACGGUAGGUAAUGCCGGAUGUGAUCGACCACCGCAUGGUGGUUUGUUUAAAGGCGGGGAAUCUUCGGAUCCUGUCGCAAAGAGAUUGGCCCAUAUCCUAUCAGCUUGUUGGUGAGGUAACGGCUCACCAAGGCUUACGGGUAGCGGGUCUGAGAGGAUGAUCCGCCACACUGGAACUGAGACACGGUCCAG